RNAcentral lists this ribosomal RNA (426 nucleotides) under uncultured cyanobacterium. Its description in RNAcentral is "bacterial SSU rRNA". It matches the Rfam family "Bacterial small subunit ribosomal RNA", at positions 355 to 795 of the family's 1533-position model. Lineage: Bacteria; Bacillati; Cyanobacteriota. The record is from RNAcentral.
UGGGGAAUUUUCCGCAAUGGGCGCAAGCCUGACGGAGCAAGACCGCGUGCGGGAUGAAGGUCUGUGGACUGUAAACCGCUUUUGAUAGGGAAGAACACAAUGACGGUACCUAUCGAAUCAGCCUCGGCUAACUCCGUGCCAGCAGCCGCGGUAAUACGGAGGAGGCAAGCGUUAUCCGGAAUUAUUGGGCGUAAAGCGUCCGUAGGUGGUGAUGCAAGUCUAUUGUCAAAGCAUGAGGCUUAACCUCAUACCGGCAGUGGAAACUGCAUUGCUAGAGUGCGAUAGGGGCAAGGGGAAUUCCCAGUGUAGCGGUGAAAUGCGUAGAUAUUGGGAAGAACAUCGGUGGCGAAAGCGCCUUGCUGGGUCUGCACUGACACUGAGGGACGAAAGCUAGGGGAGCGAAUGGGAUUAGAUACCCCAGUAGUC